This 450-nucleotide ribosomal RNA is filed under the name uncultured bacterium. RNAcentral describes it as "bacterial SSU rRNA". It matches the Rfam family "Bacterial small subunit ribosomal RNA", at positions 45 to 531 of the family's 1533-position model. The record is from RNAcentral.
GGCCUAACACAUGCAAGUCGAACGAUAAGCCACCUUCGGGUGGUGGACAGUGGCAGACGGGUGAGUAACGCGUGGGAACGUGCCUUUCGGUUCGGGAUAACCCAGGGAAACUUGGGCUAAUACCGGAUACGCCCUUCGGGGGAAAGAUUCAUUGCCGAAAGAUCGGCCCGCGUCGGAUUAGCUUGUUGGUGGGGUAAUGGCCUACCAAGGCGACGAUCCGUAGCUGGUCUGAGAGGAUGACCAGCCACACUGGGACUGAGACACGGCCCAGACUCCUACGGGAGGCAGCAGUGGGGAAUAUUGGACAAUGGGCGCAAGCCUGAUCCAGCCAUGCCGCGUGGGUGAAGAAGGCCUUAGGGUUGUAAACCCCUUUCAGCGGGGAAGAUAAUGACGGUACCCGCAGAAGAAGCCCCGGCUAACUCCGUGCCAGCAGCCGCGGUAAUACGGAGG